UGGGGAAUAUUGCACAAUGGGCGCAAGCCUGAUGCAGCCAUGCCGCGUGUAUGAAGAAGGCCUUCGGGUUGUAAAGCACUUUCAGCGGGGAGGAAGGCGGUGAGGUUAAUAACCUCAUCGAUUGACGUUACCCGCAGAAGAAGCACCGGCUAACUCCGUGCCAGCAGCCGCGGUAAUACGGAGGGUGCAAGCGUUAAUCGGAAUUACUGGGCGUAAAGCGCACGCAGGCGGUUGAUUGAGUCAGAUGUGAAAUCCCCGGGCUUAACCCGGGAAUUGCAUCUGAUACUGGUCAGCUAGAGUCUUGUAGAGGGGGGUAGAAUUCCAUGUGUAGCGGUGAAAUGCGUAGAGAUGUGGAGGAAUACCGGUGGCGAAGGCGGCCCCCUGGACAAAGACUGACGCUCAGGUGCGAAAGCGUGGGGAGCAAACAGG
This 429-nucleotide ribosomal RNA is filed under the name Chloroflexota bacterium. RNAcentral's name for it is "Chloroflexi bacterium partial 16S ribosomal RNA". It matches the Rfam family "Bacterial small subunit ribosomal RNA", at positions 355 to 776 of the family's 1533-position model. Lineage: Bacteria; Bacillati; Chloroflexota. The record is from RNAcentral.